UUAUGAGUCAACCUGUGGUUGCUGUGAUUUGAACUCAGGACCUUCAGAAGUGCAGCCAGCAGGCUCUUGAGCCCCUCAGUCCUCUUCCGGGUUACUCUCAGGUGCCUAAGGAAAAACGGAGCCCACAAGUGGCAUUCACGAAACUGCACUAUGACACCAGUGCCCUCGCCCUGCCCCCCACCUUCAUGCCUGCCAGAAGUCCCGCAGCCACUUUUGGAACCAGGAUGGGAACCAGUUGCAACCCCAGGCCAGCUCCAUCAGCGCCAGCAGCACUGCAAGGUCUUCAAGGUCUUGUCAUCCUCCGCGUGCCUCCCGGUGUUCGGGCGCAGGAGGGGGCGCGGAGAGGCAGUGCGCAGGCUGGAUCAGGGGUCGCAUGGUGCGGUGUCGCGAGUUCGUGAGUGGUGGAGUCGGGAGACACGGGGUCACGAGUGGCAGGUUCACGGUUAGAGAAGUCAAGGGUAGCGAGGUCGGGGCUUUCAGGGUGCGGUAUCACGGGGCCACGGGUGAUCGGGUCCUGAUUGGCCAGCACCCAGUCAGGCAGCGCGAACUGCGCAUCGGGAUCUUUGGGAUCUUUGCGCAGGCGGAGAAACUGCUGGUCCACCUUCAUCUGCAGCUGCGGUGGCUUCCCGGGCGGCGUGGCUGGUGGCGGAGAGGCGGGACUGGCCGACAGACGGGCCCGAGGACCCGGGACACGCCCACAGACACAAGGAUGGACGCGAGGACCACUACACAACGGAUGAUAGCAGGGGAUUAAAACCCGCGCUCUGGCAUUAAGGACUUAUUUCGGCGCUGAGUGAUGACAUCACAAGGCUGCGACCAAAACAAAACAGCGCGCCGAGUGAUGACGAUAGGAAUGUGACUAAAAGAAGGUGAUAGAGAUAUCAAAGUGACCAGCUCACACAGUGGCAAAGGCGGGCGCGCAGCGACUGCGUCACAAAGCGCGACCACAACAAAGAGGCGGUGCUGACGGACCUGGGCCUAGGUAUGAAAGCCACCCCGCGGUUACACGGCAGCACGUGGCUAUUGUGUCAUGCGUCGCGGGGUCCAAACCAACCCUGGGACCGCUCUGUGAUUGCGUCAUCGCCAACCGCAAGGAUAACAAGGUGGCUGCUGUCAAGUCAACGGUUUCAAAACAGGCUCGGCUGCCACGGAAUCCAAUUCCGGCGAGCGGUGAUGGCGUGACCGGCCGCGACCAAAACAAGGUGGUCGCGCAGAUGAACAAGGCCUGUGUGGAGAACGUCAGGAGCCACAGCGGGAACGACACAAACGACUGGGUAGGCCCGCCGGCCGUGAUACUUGGGUGGCCUGUGACAGCAUGGACUUGCUUCAUCACACAGCAACCACUAGCGGGGAUGCUGUCCAGUCCAGCGGAGUAACCGCACAGUCUCGGGGCCUCGGAAGCGCUGAGAAGGAUGGUGGGACUGAGGGGAAAAGAAGGAGGCCUGUACGCACGCGCACUGCCAAGCUCAAAGGCCUUUCCCGCAUCCAGGCGGACAGGCAUGCGCAGUAUUACCCACUCGCUGAUGGGACAGGAAACACAUGCGCACUGGGGUUUCCUUUCUGCUGUCAGUCAGUGUUACAGAGGGUGGGACUCGGCUCCUGUCACUCAACCCUGUCAGUCACCGUGACGGAGGGCGGGACCUGGCUCCUGUCCUAUUUCAAAUGAAAAAUGAAAAGGGGCCAACUGGUUGAUCUCAUUAUAUCAUUUAAUUUUAAAAAAGUCUGCUGGUGUAUAGAAAUUCCUCUGUUCUAUGCACUUGUUAAAACUACAGGCACGUAUUUACAAGUUACUCAUGUUUUAAUAAAAAGAAAAAACCCUCCCUUUGUCAGUUGAACUCCUUUUCGUUAAAGGAAGAAAACAUAAAAGUUAAAACAUCAACCUGCUCUUAAAUGCUUAUAAUUUUAAUAAAAGAGACAACUGGUCAACCCCA
Mastomys coucha (southern multimammate mouse) is the source of this 1931-nucleotide long non-coding RNA. RefSeq lists it as uncharacterized. Lineage: Eukaryota; Metazoa; Chordata; Mammalia; Rodentia; Muridae. The transcript has 3 exons. The record is from RefSeq and is a predicted model, not a curated record.